This 85-nucleotide transfer RNA is filed under the name Felis catus (domestic cat). It matches the Rfam family "tRNA". Rfam says of the family: Transfer RNA (tRNA) molecules are approximately 80 nucleotides in length. Their secondary structure includes four short double-helical elements and three loops (D, anti-codon, and T loops). The record is from Rfam by way of RNAcentral. Lineage: Eukaryota; Metazoa; Chordata; Mammalia; Carnivora; Felidae.
GCCUGGGUGGCUCAGUUGGUUAAGUGUCUGACUUCGGCUCAGAUCAUGAUCUCAUGGUUUGUGAGUUUGAGCCUUGCAUCAGGCU